UCCCUGGUGGUCCAGUAGCUAAGACUCCACACUCCCAAUGCAGGGGCCUGGGUUCAACUCCUGGUCAGGGAA
RNAcentral lists this transfer RNA (72 nucleotides) under Bos taurus (domestic cattle). It matches the Rfam family "tRNA". Rfam says of the family: Transfer RNA (tRNA) molecules are approximately 80 nucleotides in length. RNAcentral also lists the same sequence under 1 other name. Lineage: Eukaryota; Metazoa; Chordata; Mammalia; Artiodactyla; Bovidae. The record is from Rfam by way of RNAcentral.